This 427-nucleotide ribosomal RNA is filed under the name uncultured bacterium. RNAcentral's name for it is "bacterial SSU rRNA". It matches the Rfam family "Bacterial small subunit ribosomal RNA", at positions 356 to 775 of the family's 1533-position model. The record is from RNAcentral.
GAGGAAUUUUGCGCAAUGGCCGCAAGGCUGACGCAGCAACGCCGCGUGGGUGAUGAAGGCCUUCGGGUCGUAAGGCCCUGUCAGGUGGGAAGAAAGGCCUUAAGGAGAAAGACUUGAGGUUUGACGGUACCACCAGAGGAAGCACCGGCUAACUCCGUGCCAGCAGCCGCGGUAAUACGGAGGGUGCGAGCGUUAUUCGGAAUUACUGGGCGUAAAGCGCGUGUAGGCGGGGGGACAAGUCUGAUGUGAAAGCCCUGGGCUUAACCUGGGAAGCGCAUUGGAAACUGUUUUUCUUGAGUACUGGAGAGGAAGGGGGAAUUCCCGGUGUAGAGGUGAAAUUCGUAGAGAUCGGGAGGAAUACCAGUGGCGUAGGCGCCCUUCUGGACGGUAACUGACGCUGAGACGCGAAAGCGUGGGGAGCAAACAG